This 21-nucleotide non-coding RNA is filed under the name Arabidopsis thaliana (thale cress). Lineage: Eukaryota; Viridiplantae; Streptophyta; Magnoliopsida; Brassicales; Brassicaceae. The record is from RNAcentral.
UAGGCUCCCAAAGGCACGUGU